Zalophus californianus (California sea lion) is the source of this 276-nucleotide long non-coding RNA. RefSeq lists it as uncharacterized. NCBI's taxonomy places the organism in Eukaryota, Metazoa, Chordata, Mammalia, Carnivora, Otariidae. The record is from RefSeq and is a predicted model, not a curated record. The transcript has 3 exons.
CUGCUCAGUCCCCAGGAAUGGCUGUACAAGGAAGCAUCUGUCUAGGACGGAAAGGGAGAAGUAGAGUGACUAUAUUUUAGAAGGGAAACGUGAACCUGAUUGCCUCAAACUAUCCUGCUGCUCCAGUGGAUAUCAGCAGUUAUGAAUGCAGCAGCCUCUUGGCCAGCGCAUGUACUUUUCAUGAAGUCAUUCCCUGAAGAUUCUGACAGGUUUGCAAAGACAAUUGUACAAAACAAUACUGUCUGAAACUUACAAUGCUAACGCAUGCGUGGAAGA